Molecule: non-coding RNA, 108 nt
Filed under: Roseomonas sp. CECT 9278
Lineage: Bacteria; Pseudomonadati; Pseudomonadota; Alphaproteobacteria; Acetobacterales; Roseomonadaceae
Description: SAM-I-IV-variant
Rfam family: SAM-I/IV (S-adenosyl methionine) riboswitch aptamer
About the family: It is found upstream of a number of genes which code for proteins involved in methionine or cysteine biosynthesis. It has been found mostly in the order Actinomycetales.
Source: RNAcentral
GACGCGCAUCAGGAGUUGGGCCGGCGCCCAACGCCAACCUGCCUUCCCGGGCAAGGUGGCGCCUCCGCAAGGAGGGAUGCGGCCGUUCCGGCAACCAAACGGGAAGCG